Molecule: long non-coding RNA, 662 nt
Organism: Homo sapiens (human)
Lineage: Eukaryota; Metazoa; Chordata; Mammalia; Primates; Hominidae
Source: Ensembl
ACGCCCCCAUGCAUCCCCACCCCCGCCCCUCCGGACGGCUUACUUACCUCAUACGCAGCUCAUCUUAAACCAAUAGAAUCGCUCGGUGGACGAGAGUGUCUGACUCAGAUAUCUACCUCGGAGGGAGUUUCUGCUACUUUAGGGAAUUAUUGACUGGGCUUUGGGGUUGAACUUUUUUUUUUUUAAAGAAAGAAAAAGAAACCCUGGGAUCCAUCUGUUUUUUUUGUUGUUGUUGUUGUUUUUGUUGUUGUUGGUGGUGGUGGUGGUGGUGGUUCUUAAUUUUUAAUUUAGUUUGGGGAAGUAGCUUGUUUUUUUUUUUAUAAAUAUGUUGAUUUCUUGUCUUUUUUUUUUUUUAUUUCUUACUUUCCCAUAUUAGGGGUGAUAGCCAAAGGGGUUCUGGUAAGAGAAAGGGGGACAAACAGAACUGGUAAAGAGGCCCCCCUGGCUCCAGGCCUGUCCAUCAGGAAGUAAAUUUUACAGGGCACCAAGCUUUGCCCCCUAAAAUCCCUUAGGUGUUCUUUGUUCAUGCAGGCAGGUUUCUGCCGCAUUUGAUGUGGAGGCAUGGGCCGGGGGCAGUUCUCUCCUCACUUGUAAACUUGUGUAGUUUCACAGAAAAAAAACAAAAUGCAGUUUUAAAUAAAGAAAUUUCUUUUUUCCCUGGG